CUAAAUUAUUAUUUAAUAAUCUUUCGGGUCAGUGGGAUUUCGAAUAUAUUUUAUUUAUGUUAUUAUGUGAGUAAUAAAAAUUAUGUGCGAGUUGUGAGAAAUUUGUGUGAUUAUGUGAAUAAUUGUUGGAUGCAUUUUAUCUGUUCGUGCAUCCUUUGAUUUAAAUUAGUUCAUAUAGUCGAUCGUGAUUUAUGACAUCAUGAUUUGAUUAUUUUAGAUAUUCUAAAUAUCUUAUUUUAUUUGAAAGCUUUGGAAUUUAGAUUAAUUUUAUUAAAGUAAGAAUAUUUUCGGGUCCGUACAUUUUAUUUAGAUGAUCACUAGCUUUUUAUUUCAAGAUUGGGAUCCAAAACUUUUAUUAUAUAAAUAUAUCAUAUCUAAAAUUAUUUUAUUAUUAAAAAGAAAAUAGAAGUAGUACAAUUGUACUACACGGGUAGUACAAGCAGGAAAAAAAAGAAGAGAGAAAAGCAAAACACAUACGCACAAAAACAGAGUAGUAGUCGGUGACUUUGAAAAUUGGGGGUUAGGGGUUGAGUGUCCACGGAAACUUAUAAUCCCAACAUAUAAUUGGGUAUAAACUUUUGUUUUCUUGCUUGAUUUUUGAGUUUUGGCGCAUGUAUAUCUAUAUGUUGUAUUGGGUUCGUGUAUAUAUGUGUGGUUGUACUUGAUUGUGGUGGUGGUUGGAAGUCGUGGGCGUCAGCGGAUGGGUGGUGGCAGGGUUGUGUCACAGCCGCCACGAGAAGAGAAAGGGAGUUGAGGCGAGGCACCGGAGGUUGGACGGCGCUACACGGCCGUGAAAGCAGCGGCGUCGCAAUCGGAAUGUUGAUGAUAGGCUAUGGGAAGGUGGCUCCAUUUUCCCGAUGAACACUUCACCAUCACCCCUGCAUCUCUUGUUCCGAAUCAAUGGCUAGAUACAAAGAUGGUUCGCUUGUUUGGGUUGCGCUUAAGAAUAACGCUAGGCAAGGAUUUCAAGUGAGUAUGUCAGACCUCGAUGGUCAGGAUAAGUAUUUUGGAAGAUGUCAAGGGAACUAGCUGUGAUUAAGAUGGUAUAAUUUUGAUUCAGAUGUAAAGCAGAUUUAAGUUUUGGUUAUCAGUUAUUCUUCUUGUCGAAGUUUAUCUGGUAAUGUAGAAUAUGUUGUAUUAGAUUUAUAUUUUCGAUUUUCUGAUUUCAAUACUAUAGCCUGUAUGCGAUCCUGUUUUCAGGGGGUGAAAUUGAAUUUUACUUUAAAUCAUUUUAAAAAUAUCUAGGUUUCAAAAUAAUUGUUUUUAGCUUCUUUCAAAAAUACAGGUUUUAAAUUGUUUUUCUUUUAGUGGCACCAAAUCCAGACCCCCGGAUUUGAGGGAUGUCACAGUUGGUAUCAGAGCUACAGGUUAUAAGGUAUUGAAAUCAGAAUGUAGGUGGGAGCAACGUGGUUAAUAAGAGAGAUGUGCCAAGUGAAACCUCUUGUAGAGGUAAGUUAAGACUAUUGGGUAUAGUCUCUGUUAAUAGAAUUGAGAUUGAGUUAGAAUAUUGAAAUCGAGUAUUCAUUUGGUAUAUCAUAGUUCCUAAUUUUAGAAUUAAUGAGUUUGGUUCUCAUGAGAAACAUGAUAGACCACAUUUGGUUCGGAAUCGUUAUUUAGAGGUUUUAUGAUUAGAGCUAGUUGAUGUCAGACCAAUGGUUAUUUUCACACUCUCUAGAGUAUUCCUUGCUACGGAGAGAGUUGUUUGGAGAAUUGCCGAUUGCCCCUUGUGAAUUGAAUAUAGAGUUUGUACCUGAUUAUGAAAGCUGCAGGGUCAAAGUAAGAGCCCCCGCAUAUAGUUAAGUAAUGAAUGCUAAAGUUUAUCUAGAACACGUGUAGAUUAGUGGAUAUACUGAUAUAGUACUCAUGAGUAAAUUAAGACGUCAACACUUAGUUGUGAUGGUUGUACGAAACUCGAUAAGAUUUUGGACUGUGCGAAGCUGAGCAGGACUCCUGAUGAUCCUGGAUAUUUAUAUAUCAAUCUUCAAAGACCCUGCGAGUUGAUGAUAAAGUACAAUAUUAAGCAUUAUCGAAUACUGAGAAGAAAGGACUAUAAUCGAAUAGAGGUCCAUUAGAAGAAUAGAUCGAGAAAAUACAUGUGAGACUCUUGGUAAUACCUUCCUCUUUUGUCGAUUAUAUUGAUUCAUUUCCUUCAAGUGAUUUGUUUUUACCUUUAUUUCGUGAAGAUGUUUGAUAAAGAAUAUUGUUCCCUCUCUCUUGGUCUGUAAAGUGAUGUUUGUGCUUAUUGAAUCAUUAUUGACCAUUCUUUUUAGCGAAACUAGGACAUUUGGAAUCUAUUUGAUUUUGAAUCCAAAGUCUGCGUCUGAGGUCCAUUCAUCAAAAGAUAAUCAUUGUCAACUCGAUUUUGAACUACUUUUGGUAUUUCCUUAUUCCAACUGAGAUGAACAACCCGAGUUGUGGGGGACACAAGAACUACCUGUCUGUGUGAUAGGAGUUGGAUGGGACGCCAUCACUUGUGUGUGUUGUACAUACAAGAAGGUUAACUACCUUUAGUAGUGUCUGAAUAAAGACACGCAACACCGAGUUCUUUAGAUCAUAUUGAUCUCUCAGUUAUUUCCUUAUUCAAUGACAUAACACUUGCUUCAAUACAUGAAAUCUGUCAUGUUUCAAUAUUCAAGAUUCUUGUAAUCUCUAGUAGUCUGAAGGUAUGCCAACUGAGUUGCCAACAUGGGUUAAGCCUUCGUAGGAGGGGGUACCAAGAGCAAAAGCAGAUGAUGAUGCGGGUAUACGAAAUCGAUUAAGAGGAUUCCAUAUAAAAAAAAAGAAUAUUACGGUUUAAAGCGAUCGUACACUUUAGUUUUCUCUUCGUUGAUUCCGAGGACGGAAUCCUUUUAAGGGGGGUAGAUUGUGACAACCCAUAUUUUUAUAAAUUAUUUUAUUUUAAUAUUCAUGAUUUUUUUGGAAAAGAAAGAAUAAAAUAUCAUAUUUUAUUUCCGUUUGAUGAGUUCUAAAUUAUUAUUUAAUAAUCUUUCGGGUCAGUGGGAUUUCGAAUAUAUUUUAUUUAUGUUAUUAUGUGAGUAAUAAAAAUUAUGUGCGAGUUGUGAGAAAUUUGUGUGAUUAUGUGAAUAAUUGUUGGAUGCAUUUUAUCUGUUCGUGCAUCCUUUGAUUUAAAUUAGUUCAUAUAGUCGAUCGUGAUUUAUGACAUCAUGAUUUGAUUAUUUUAGAUAUUCUAAAUAUCUUAUUUUAUUUGAAAGCUUUGGAAUUUAGAUUAAUUUUAUUAAAGUAAGAAUAUUUUCGGGUCCGUACAUUUUAUUUAGAUGAUCACUAGCUUUUUAUUUCAAGAUUGGGAUCCAAAACUUUUAUUAUAUAAAUAUAUCAUAUCUAAAAUUAUUUUAUUAUUAAAAAGAAAAUAGAAGUAGUACAAUUGUACUACCCGGGUAGUACAAGCAGGAAAAAAAAGAAGAGAGAAAAGCAAAACACAUACGCACAAAAACAGAGUAGUAGUCGGUGACUUUGAAAAUUGGGGGUUAGGGGUUGAGUGUCCACGGAAACUUAUAAUCCCAACAUAUAAUUGGGUAUAAACUUUUGUUUUCUUGCUUGAUUUUUGAGUUUUGGCGCAUGUAUAUCUAUAUGUUGUAUUGGGUUCGUGUAUAUAUGUGUGGUUGUACUUGAUUGUGGUGGUGGUUGGAAGUCGUGGGCGUCAGCGGAUGGGUGGUGGCAGGGUUGUGUCACAGCCGCCACGAGAAGAGAAAGGGAGUUGAGGCGAGGCACCGGAGGUUGGACGGCGCUACACGGCCGUGAAAGCAGCGGCGUCGCAAUCGGAAUGUUGAUGAUAGGCUAUGGGAAGGUGGCUCCAUUUUCCCGAUGAACACUUCACCAUCACCCCUGCAUCUCUUGUUCCGAAUCAAUGGCUAGAUACAAAGAUGGUUCGCUUGUUUGGGUUGCGCUUAAGAAUAACGCUAGGCAAGGAUUUCAAGUGAGUAUGUCAGACCUCGAUGGUCAGGAUAAGUAUUUUGGAAGAUGUCAAGGGAACUAGCUGUGAUUAAGAUGGUAUAAUUUUGAUUCAGAUGUAAAGCAGAUUUAAGUUUUGGUUAUCAGUUAUUCUUCUUGUCGAAGUUUAUCUGGUAAUGUAGAAUAUGUUGUAUUAGAUUUAUAUUUUCGAUUUUCUGAUUUCAAUACUAUAGCCUGUAUGCGAUCCUGUUUUCAGGGGGUGAAAUUGAAUUUUACUUUAAAUCAUUUUAAAAAUAUCUAGGUUUCAAAAUAAUUGUUUUUAGCUUCUUUCAAAAAUACAGGUUUUAAAUUGUUUUUCUUUUAGUGGCACCAAAUCCAGACCCCCGGAUUUGAGGGAUGUCACAAUGGAAAUAGGCUUGAUUGUAUUUUUAGAGAAUCCAUUAAUACUCGGAAGAGGUUAUUGGUAUUUUAUAGGGCACAUCUUUCCUCUUGAGUAAUAUAUUUGAUAGAUCACUACUAGAAAAAGUAGAAUAGACAUCAGGGUAUAGACAUCGGUCGACUUUGGCCACGAUGUAAAAGCGUUUAUUAACAUCGGCUAAAAAGUAACCGAUGUCUAUUACUUUUUUGACAUCAGUUAAUAUAGGAACCGAUGUCUAUCCUCUUUGAAUGAAAAAUGAAAACCGCGUGGCAACUCCUCUUUUGUCCGUCCCCCAAAUAUUUCCCGUACUUAGUCAAAAUUUCGUCCCCCCAAUCUUUUAACCCCAAAAUCAAACAAAAUAACAGACUCACUCACUAUUGAGACAAAACAUUUCAAAUUAAAUCACACUCUCUUUUCUCUCUCCCCGACUCUCUCUCUCUCGUUUCUCAGACUCUUUCUCUCUCAAUCGAACCGCACCUCGGAAUCUUAGCUUUGCACCCUAAUCGAAGUGUUGAAGCCAUAAUCAAAGCUGCUUGAGCUCUCACAGACCUAAUCGAAGCUUCUCAAGCCAACACGAUUACUGUUACUACAUUUUCCUUUUCUAGGGUUUCAUAACCCAACACAAAGUCUGGCUCCGAGAGUGAUUCCGAUGAUUUUGGUCUCCGACAAGACAUGGAAGCUCUUCUUAGAGCUUGUAUGUCACUGGUGUGGCUCUAAUUUCUAAUUACAAUUCAGAUUUGGGCGGAGAAGAUAGAGACUUGUAUAGGAAAUGAGUGCAGAAAUAGUGAACCCAAAGGCAUACCCAUUAGCUGAUUCACUGAUAACCGUCACAAUUUUUGACCUUGUUCAGGAAGCUGCUAAUUACAAGCAACUUAAGAAGGGUGCUAAUGAAAACACUGAACAGAGGAAUUUCAGAGUUUUUGGUGAUGGCUGCUGAUACUGAGCCUCUCGAGAUUCAUCUCCAUCUCCCCCUUCUUGCUGAAGACAAGGAUGUUAUGCCUCUGGAUUAUAUGCCUCUCCAGGCUUGAUGAGGAUGAGCUUUGUAGAUUUUAUGCUGUAUCGAAUGGUUGGUCGCUAUUUUUAAUUGAUUAACUAGAAGGGGGAGCUUUAUAACUAUUCAGGUUGUGGGAAUACCAUAAAUUGCAACCAUCCUAUUGUGCGACAAUUAUAUUAUAUCGUCUCUGCAAAAACCAUAGACUGCCAGAAAGUAUCUCAAGAAGCAUGCAGCCAUGCAGCUCAAAACGAACGAUUGCCAGUACAGACAGCAAUCUGUGUGAAAGAUGAAAUGAAUGAAAGCAUAAAGGAUGGUUUACAGAAAUCGGCCUCUAUUAUAGAUCGAUAAAGGAAACUUCCAGUAAAUAGUUUAGUUGAUUUGGUUUGUGGUUGAUGCCUCUGCUUUGGAAAAGAAAAGGGUGGAUGAAGUGUUUUGUGGAUGAAUAUUAGUUGACUAAGAUUUUUGCCGAAGGAUGUCUAGAUUAUUGUAGUUUGGAGUUUUUGGAUAACUUUAGAUUUUGGUAUAUUGCCGAAGGAGGGCUAGAUUAUUGUAGUUUGUAGUUUUUGGAUAACUUUAGAUUUUGGUAUAUUGCCGAUGGAUGGCUAGAUUGGUUAUGUUUGAAUGUUGGAUGUAUAUAUUGAAUGUUAUAUUGCGAUUUCUAUGAAUGAA
This is a long non-coding RNA of Daucus carota subsp. sativus, 5990 nucleotides long. RefSeq lists it as uncharacterized. The record is from RefSeq and is a predicted model, not a curated record. Lineage: Eukaryota; Viridiplantae; Streptophyta; Magnoliopsida; Apiales; Apiaceae. The transcript is spliced from 8 exons.